Non-coding RNA from Podarcis lilfordi (Lilford's wall lizard), 74 nucleotides. The record is from the annotation of a GenBank genome assembly. Lineage: Eukaryota; Metazoa; Chordata; Lepidosauria; Squamata; Lacertidae.
GUCAUGGAGAGCUCAGGUGGUAGAGCAUGAGACUCUUAAUCUCAGAGCUGUGGGUUCAAGUCCCACACUGGGCA